RNAcentral lists this ribosomal RNA (253 nucleotides) under uncultured bacterium. RNAcentral describes it as "partial 16S ribosomal RNA". It matches the Rfam family "Bacterial small subunit ribosomal RNA", at positions 524 to 776 of the family's 1533-position model. The record is from RNAcentral.
UACGAAGGGGGCGAGCGUUGUUCGGAUUUACUGGGCGUAAAGGGCGCGCAGGCGGCAGACCAAGUCAGGCGUGAAAGCCCCGGGCUUAACCUGGGAGGUGCGUCUGGGACUGGUAUGCUAGAGUUCGGGAGAGGAGAGUGGAAUUCCCAGUGUAGAGGUGAAAUUCGUAGAUAUUGGGAAGAACACCGAUGGCGAAGGCAGCCAUCUGGACCGACACUGACGCUGAGGCGCGAAAGCGUGGGGAGCAAACAGG